Molecule: long non-coding RNA, 218 nt
Filed under: Eucalyptus grandis
Lineage: Eukaryota; Viridiplantae; Streptophyta; Magnoliopsida; Myrtales; Myrtaceae
Description: long non-coding RNA (EGRA_LNC000687)
Source: RNAcentral
AACAUUUUCUAAGAAGUCCCAAUCAAUAGUGUCAUAAGCCUUAUGGAAAUCCACCUUGACCGCACACUUAGGUAAGUAUGGCCGGAGAUGAAACCUCGCAAACAAUUCCUGAGCAAGGAGAAUAUUAUCCCUAAUUCUCCUACCUUUUACAAAAGCAUUUUGAGAUUGACUCACAAUAUCAUUUAAGACCAUCGCUAUUCGGUUAGCUAAAAUCUUUG